UCCUCACUUCCUGACAAAACUUUUUUCCUCACUUCCUGACAAAACUUUUUUCCUCACUUCCUGACAAAACUUUUUUCCUCACUUCCUGACAAAACUUUUUUCCUCACUUCCUGACAAAACUUUUUUCCUCACUUCCUGUCAAAACUUUUUUUUCCUCACUUCCUGACAAAACUUUUUUCCUCACUUCCUGACAAAACUUUUUUCCUCACUUCCUGACAAAACUUUUUUCCUCACUUCCUGACAAAACUUUUUCCUCACUUCCUGACAAAACUUUAUGCAACACUUCUUUCCUCAAUCGUACCACUUCACUUCUGUUGCAAUAUGUAUUUGGUGACUACUAACAUCGACACUUCACAUCCACGAAGCGUUCUCACUACACAUUUUCUUUCGUUUCCCUUCCUGACCAAGCUUCGUUCAACCCUUCCUUCCUCGCUCCACUUCGCUUCUAUUGUUUUGUGUAUCGUUCACUGCCUCGUUAACGCUUCACUUCGGCUCCUCGUAACACUCCAAGAGCCUUUUCCCUUCCCUUCGCUUUCCUGGCAAAACUUUCUUCAACACUUCCUUCCUCGCUUCCACUUCGCUUCUAUUGUUUUGUGUAUCGUUCACUGCCUCGUUAACGCUUCACCUCGGCUCCUCGUAACACUCACAAGAGCUUUUUCCCUUCCCUUCGCUUUCCUGGCAAAACUUUCUUCAACACUUCCGUCCUCGUUACCACUUCACUAACGCCACUUCUGUUGCUAUAUAUUCUAUUAUAUUGCUCACUUCAUCGGCCACACACACACUCCUCCACACUUCAGCUCAGAUUCAUGUCACACUGCAACAGGUUUUCCCUUCAAUUCGCUUCACUGAUAAUUUAUAUAUAACCCCUUUUUCAAUAUUUCGUUCCCAGCCCCACUUCACUAGGCUUCUGGUAUGUAUUGUUCACUUCAUCAAUAACACACAAACCUCUACACUUCAUCUCACGUCCAUGUAACACACACUCAACACUUAACUUCGCUUCAGUUCCCUAGUAUCCCUUUUUUUCAGCAUUUCCUCCCUCGCCCCACUUCACUAGGCUUCUGAUAUGUAUUGUUCACUUCAUCAAUAACACACAAACCUAUACACUUCAUCUCACGUCCAUGUAACACACACUCAACACUUAACAUCGCUUCAGUUCCCUAGUAUCCCUUUCUUUCAGCAUUUUCUCCCUCGCCCCACUUCAAUACACUUCUUAAAACAGCAUCUCUUGUCUUACUAAUAUUACCCACUUCAUUCUGUAAUCUAAACCCACUGGAGAACUUAAAACAAUACUACUAAAAUAACGCAUUUCCACUUAAACCAAACUCGCAUUCUUCGUAUAAAACAGAGAUACAAGACAAGUAAAAAUCCAACGUCUACCCAGAAUGAGAGAGAGAGAGAGAGAGAGAGGACAAGGAUGUAUUAUUAUAGUGUGUGUGUGGUUGGGGACGGUUAGGCAAGGCAACACACCCCCAGCCACCUCGUUCUUGAUUGGCUGUUUUUGAAGGCGUGACGCGGCGAGGCCAAUCACACGCCACGGGUAGAUGGAGUCGCUUUAACGGUACACUGCGUCAGACUUAAUUUCUUAGGACAGAGUUAGUUUAAAAGGCGCCAGAUUUUAAAAAGGUUGUAUUAGUGUUUGUUAUGUGGUUCGUUUAGCUUUUUUUUUUACUUCUAUCUUUGGGACGGCGUUAGUUUAGAAGUGUUUGAUUUUCGUGGAGUUAAGAUUACGUAUUUCAAGCUCAGUCGUAAAAGAUGAUGUAUAAAACGGUCAACGAAAACAAGUAACUAACUACGCCUUGGAUAACGGGUGAAGAAAGGAUAGAUCUGCCAAUGAAUGAAAGGAAAAUAAAAGAAAGGCAAUUAGUGAGCGAGUAAAGUAUAAAAAAGACGAGAUGAAAGAAUGAGAAAAGAGCGGAUGGUGGAUUGUGUGUGCAUCUCGGAAAAAGAGGAAUGAGAGGUGAAUGAAAAAGACAGAUAGUGAAAAUAAAUAUAGAGGAACGACAUGGAAAAACAAGCCUGACAAAUUGAAUGACGAGAAAACGGGAAAAAAUACAGAAUACGAUAAAAGAGGGGAUCUAAAAAUACAGUGAAAUUGUACGACAGGAACGUGAAGGUCAGUCAAUGAAAAGAGUGAUAAAGAUUAAAAUGAUAGACUGGAAAUUAAGAAAAAAAGAGAGAGAAUAUGAUUUUGUAUAAUGAUGAAUGAAUGACCAUGAAAAAUAAAGCCUUAGGUAGAUGAAGAAGGGAAUAGUAAAACGAAAAUGAAAAACAUGAAUAAUGAAAAAAAUAGAAAAGAAAACGGACACUCGAUAAGGUGAAGAUAGAUAUGAAGAAAACCCAGACUUGUUCAAAUGAAAGAAAAGAAAAAAAAAAUGUGAGACAGAGAGUAAAGGGGAAACUAGUGGAAAGCUGAGUGAGUGAAUUACGUCAGAAAAAAACACGAGGAAAAAGGUGAUGCCCGAAAAAAAAGUGGAGUGUGAAUAAGAAAAGAAAAAAAGAAAGGAAAAAAAAUAAUAGUGGAAUGUCAAAUAAGAACAGAUCAACGAGAGAGAGAGAGAGAGAGAGAGAGAGAGAGAGAGAGAGAGAGAGAGAGAGAGAGAGAGAGAGAGAGAGAGAGAGAGAGA
Long non-coding RNA from Eriocheir sinensis (Chinese mitten crab), 2624 nucleotides. RefSeq lists it as uncharacterized. The record is from RefSeq and is a predicted model, not a curated record. The transcript is spliced from 2 exons. NCBI's taxonomy places the organism in Eukaryota, Metazoa, Arthropoda, Malacostraca, Decapoda, Varunidae.